RNAcentral lists this ribosomal RNA (305 nucleotides) under uncultured bacterium. Its description in RNAcentral is "bacterial SSU rRNA". It matches the Rfam family "Bacterial small subunit ribosomal RNA", at positions 337 to 634 of the family's 1533-position model. The record is from RNAcentral.
CCCUACGGGGGGCAGCAGUAGGGGAUCUUCCGCAAUGGGCGAAAGCCUGAUGGAGCAACGCCGCGUGGGUGAAGAAGGUCUUCGGAUCGUAAAACCCUGUUGUUAGAGAAGAAAGUGCGUGAGAGUAACUGUUCACGUUUCGACGGUAUCUAACCAGAAAGCCACGGCUAACUACGUGCCAGCAGCCGCGGUAAUACGUAGGUGGCAAGCGUUAUCCGGAUUUAUUGGGAGUAAAGGGAACGCAGGCGGUCUUUUAAGUUUGAUGUGAAAGACUUCGGAUUAACCGGAGUAGUGCAUUGGGAACU